Molecule: ribosomal RNA, 443 nt
Filed under: uncultured soil bacterium
Lineage: Bacteria
Description: bacterial SSU rRNA
Rfam family: Bacterial small subunit ribosomal RNA
Source: RNAcentral
AGAGCGAACGCUGGCGGCAGGCCUAACGCAUGCAAGUCGAACGGACCCUUCGGGGUUAGUGGCGGACGGGUGAGUAACACGUGGGAACGUGCCUUUAGGUUCGGAAUAGCUCCUGGAAACGGGUGGUAAUGCCGAAUGUGCCCUUCGGGGGAAAGAUUUAUCGCCUUUAGAGCGGCCCGCGUCUGAUUAGCUUAUGGUGAGGUAAUGGCUCACCAAGGCUACGAUCAGUAGCUGGUCUGAGAGGAUGACCAGCCACAUUGGGACUGAGACACGGCCCAAACUCCUACGGGAGGCAGCAGUGGGAAUCUUGCGCAAUGGGCAAAGCCUGACGCAGCCAUGCCGCGUGUAUGAUGAAGGUCAUAGGAUUGUAAAAAUACUUUCACCGGUGAAGAUAAUGACUGUAGCCGGAGAAGAAGCCCGGCUAACUUCGUGCCAGCAGCCGC